UUGCAUAUGGGGAGCUUGUAGACAGGCUGAGAGGAAGUUGUGAACUUCGACCCGGGAACCUGAUUUGGAUAAUGCCAACGUAGGGAGAAAG
RNAcentral lists this non-coding RNA (91 nucleotides) under uncultured Lachnoclostridium sp. RNAcentral describes it as "TPP riboswitch (THI element)". The stretch from base 8 to 86 matches the Rfam family "TPP riboswitch aptamer (THI element)", at positions 11 to 88 of the family's 105-position model. From Rfam's summary of the family: Vitamin B(1) in its active form thiamin pyrophosphate (TPP) is an essential coenzyme that is synthesised by coupling of pyrimidine and thiazole moieties in bacteria. The previously detected thiamin-regulatory element, thi box was extended, resulting in a new, highly conserved RNA secondary structure, the THI element, which is widely distributed in eubacteria and also occurs in some archaea. The record is from RNAcentral. Lineage: Bacteria; Bacillati; Bacillota; Clostridia; Lachnospirales; Lachnospiraceae.